RNAcentral lists this ribosomal RNA (366 nucleotides) under uncultured bacterium. Its description in RNAcentral is "bacterial SSU rRNA". It matches the Rfam family "Bacterial small subunit ribosomal RNA", at positions 142 to 507 of the family's 1533-position model. The record is from RNAcentral.
AAUAACGUCGAGAAUCGGCGCUAAUACCUCAUAAUGCAGCGGAUCCGCAUGGAUAUGUUGUUAAAGGUUUACCGCCUUGGGAUAGGCUUGCGUCUGAUUUAGCUAGUUGGUGUGGUAACGGCACACCAAGGCUACGAUCAGUAACUGGUCUGAGAGGAUGAUCAGUCACACUGGAACUGAGACACGGUCCAGACUCCUACGGGAGGCAGCAGUGAGGAAUAUUGGGCAAUGCUCGAAAGAGUGACCCAGCAACGCCGCGUGGAGGAUGAAGGUAUUCUAUAUCGUAAACUCCUGUGAGAGCAGACGAAAGACAGAUUAUUAAUCUGGAUGACUGUAUGCUCAGAGGAAGCCCCGGCUAACUACGUG